RNAcentral lists this microRNA precursor (87 nucleotides) under Mesocricetus auratus (golden hamster). Its description in RNAcentral is "microRNA 181a-1 (ENSMAUG00000003575.1)". It matches the Rfam family "mir-181 microRNA precursor family". Rfam says of the family: In this case the mature sequence comes from the 5' arm of the precursor. The extents of the hairpin precursors are not generally known and are estimated based on hairpin prediction. The products are thought to have regulatory roles through complementarity to mRNA. Lineage: Eukaryota; Metazoa; Chordata; Mammalia; Rodentia; Cricetidae. The record is from RNAcentral.
GGUUGCUUCAGUGAACAUUCAACGCUGUCGGUGAGUUUGGAAUUCAAAUAAAAACCAUCGACCGUUGAUUGUACCCUGUAGCUAACC